RNAcentral lists this ribosomal RNA (450 nucleotides) under uncultured bacterium. RNAcentral describes it as "partial 16S ribosomal RNA". It matches the Rfam family "Bacterial small subunit ribosomal RNA", at positions 354 to 796 of the family's 1533-position model. The record is from RNAcentral.
GUGGGGAAUUUUGGACAAUGGGCGCAAGCCUGAUCCAGCAAUGCCGCGUGCAGGAAGAAGGCCUUCGGGUUGUAAACUGCUUUUGUACGGAACGAAACGGUCCGGGUUAAUACCCUGGGCUAAUGACGGUACCGUAAGAAUAAGCACCGGCUAACUACGUGCCAGCAGCCGCGGUAAUACGUAGGGUGCAAGCGUUAAUCGGAAUUACUGGGCGUAAAGCGUGCGCAGGCGGUGCUGUAAGACAGGCGUGAAAUCCCCGGGCUCAACCUGGGAAUUGCGCUUGUGACUGCAGUGCUGGAGUGCGGCAGAGGGGGAUGGAAUUCCGCGUGUAGCAGUGAAAUGCGUAGAUAUGCGGAGGAACACCGAUGGCGAAGGCAAUCCCCUGGGCCUGCACUGACGCUCAUGCACGAAAGCGUGGGGAGCAAACAGGAUUAGAAACCCCGGUAGUCC